AGAAGUUGUUUCUAGAUAUAUCAAUGGAUACCAGAGAAGAACACGACUGGAAGUUGCUCGGGACCGUACCGGAGAGGUUGUUGGAGGAGAGGUUGAGCUCGAGGAGAGUGGGACAGGCGUCGGCAAGAAGCAGAGGUAUGCCACCCUGGAAAUCGUUGCCGGAGAGAUAAACGUACUCCAAAUUAGCAGUGGGCAGCGCCGGAAUCGCGCCGGUGAAGUGGUUGCUGGAGAGAUUGAGGUGGUUGAGCUGCUGACAGUACGCGAGCUGGUUCUUAAUCUCGCCGGAAAAUUUAUUGGCGGAGAGAUCCAGAUAGUUGAGAGCGGAGCAACGACCCAGCGAUGGAAACGCAGAGAAAUUAUUGAAAGAAACGUCCAAAUACUCCAAAUUUCCACACCCAGAGAGUGGUAUACUUCCAUUGGCGUUGUUCCCCUUCAAGGCCAAGCUUUUCAGCUGACGAC
This 459-nucleotide long non-coding RNA is filed under the name Vitis vinifera (wine grape). RNAcentral's name for it is "long non-coding RNA (VVIN_LNC002294)". Lineage: Eukaryota; Viridiplantae; Streptophyta; Magnoliopsida; Vitales; Vitaceae. The record is from RNAcentral.